Molecule: ribosomal RNA, 254 nt
Filed under: uncultured bacterium
Lineage: Bacteria
Description: partial 16S ribosomal RNA
Rfam family: Bacterial small subunit ribosomal RNA
Source: RNAcentral
UACGUAGGGUGCGAGCGUUGUCCGGAAUUAUUGGGCGUAAAGAGUUCGUAGGCGGUGUGUCGCGUCGGCCGUGAAAACCUGGGGCUCAACUCUGGGCGUGCGGUCGAUACGGGCAUCACUUGAGUUCGGCAGGGGAGACUGGAAUUCCUGGUGUAGCGGUGAAAUGCGCAGAUAUCAGGAGGAACACCGGUGGCGAAGGCGGGUCUCUGGGCCGAUACUGACGCUGAGGAGCGAAAGCAUGGGUAGCGAACAGG